UACGAAGGGAGCUAGCGUUGCUCGGAAUCACUGGGCGUAAAGCGCACGUAGGCGGCUUUUUAAGUCAGGGGUGAAAUCCUGGAGCUCAACUCCAGAACUGCCUUUGAUACUGAGAAGCUUGAGUCCGGGAGAGGUGAGUGGAACUCCUAGUGUAGAGGUGGAAUUCGUAGAUAUUAGGAAGAACACCAGUGGCGAAGGCGGCUCACUGGUCCGGUACUGACGCUGAGGUGCGAAAGCGUGGGGAGCAAACAGG
Molecule: ribosomal RNA, 253 nt
Filed under: uncultured bacterium
Lineage: Bacteria
Description: partial 16S ribosomal RNA
Rfam family: Bacterial small subunit ribosomal RNA
Source: RNAcentral